This 223-nucleotide ribosomal RNA is filed under the name uncultured bacterium. Its description in RNAcentral is "partial 16S ribosomal RNA". It matches the Rfam family "Bacterial small subunit ribosomal RNA", at positions 328 to 539 of the family's 1533-position model. The record is from RNAcentral.
ACGCUCGACACCUACAGGAGGCAGCAGUAGGGAAUCUUCCACAAUGGACGCAAGUCUGAUGGAGCAACGCCGCGUGAGUGAAGAAGGUCUUCGGAUCGUAAAACUCUGUUGUUAGAGAAGAACACGAGUGAGAGUAACUGUUCAUUCGAUGACGGUAUCUAACCAGCAAGUCACGGCUAACUACGUGCAAGCAGCCGCGGUAAUCUGAGCGGGCUGGCAAGGC